UAAUAAAGUUCUCAAAUUUCUCAUGAUAAAAAUGUGCUCAAAUUUGUGCUAUUGUGAAAUAGGGAAAAGUGAGGGAAAACACAAGGCAAGCUGUUGCCAGUUACCUUACUUUGAAGAGAGAGACUAAAGAUUUGAAGGUCUAUGUUGAUGACUCGAGGAGCAUGUGUCAGGGCAAAGGAAAUACUGAUGGCCGGAUAACUGCAAAGAACCCUCUGCCACCUAUAAGGAA
Camellia sinensis is the source of this 229-nucleotide non-coding RNA. NCBI's taxonomy places the organism in Eukaryota, Viridiplantae, Streptophyta, Magnoliopsida, Ericales, Theaceae. The record is from RefSeq and is a predicted model, not a curated record.